Molecule: long non-coding RNA, 330 nt
Organism: Balaenoptera ricei (Rice's whale)
Lineage: Eukaryota; Metazoa; Chordata; Mammalia; Artiodactyla; Balaenopteridae
Exons: 3
Source: RefSeq, a predicted model, not a curated record
GAGCGCAUGCGCGAGCGCGGAGGGUGGGGCCCCAACGGCCGUCCGGCGGGGGCGGGGCCUGUCAUGGCGGCCUCGAGAGUCAAUUCCAGGAACCCUGAGUCUGAUACUCUCAGAUCAUGACGGAAUUGCAAGCAUAGUUUGGCUGGUGAUGCAAAAGUUCAGCAAAAAUCAACGAAAGGAGUAGGGAGUGCUGAUUCAGGUUAUUAAGGCUUUGCUUGAUGACACACCACUGCAGGUGCGUAUGGGGCUUAAGGUAGUUUAUGUUUGUAUUCUGAGGUUGUGAAAGUACUGUGUGGGUGUGUUUGUAGUGUGAAUUACAUAUAUGUGCGU